Molecule: unclassified non-coding RNA, 168 nt
Filed under: soil metagenome
Description: partial contains 5.8S ribosomal RNA, internal transcribed spacer 2, and large subunit ribosomal RNA
Source: RNAcentral
AACUGAUACUACCUGCGGGAACCUGCGGAGGGAUCAUUAGUGAACGCCCUCACGGGCUUAUAACUAUUCCAAACCUCUGUGAACCGUGCCCUUCGGGGCUAUUUUACAAACAUGGUGUAAUGAACGUCAUAUAUCAUAUCAAAACAAAACUUUUAACAAUGGAUCUCU